Molecule: ribosomal RNA, 429 nt
Filed under: Pseudomonadota bacterium
Lineage: Bacteria; Pseudomonadati; Pseudomonadota
Description: Proteobacteria bacterium partial 16S ribosomal RNA
Rfam family: Bacterial small subunit ribosomal RNA
Source: RNAcentral
UGGGGUAUAUUGGACAAUGGGCGAAAGCCUGAUCCAGCCAUGCCGCGUGUGUGAAGAAGGUCUUCGGAUUGUAUAGCACUUUAAGUUGGGAGGAAGGGCAGUAAGCGAAUACCUUGCUGUUUUGACGUUACCGACAGAAUAAGCACCGGCUAACUCUGUGCCAGCAGCCGCGGUAAUACAGAGGGUGCAAGCGUUAAUCGGAAUUACUGGGCGUAAAGCGCGCGUAGGUGGUUCGUUAAGUUGAAUGUGAAAGCCCCGGGCUCAACCUGGGAGCUGCAUCCAAAACUGGCGAGCUAGAGUAGGGCAGAGGGUGGUGGAAUUUCCUGUGUAGCGGUGAAAUGCGUAGAUAUAGGAAGGAGCACCAAUGGCGAAGGCGACCACCUGGGCUCAUACUGACGCUGAGGUGCGAAAGCGUGGGGAGCAAACAGG